GUCCACGCCGUAAACGAUGGAUACUUGGUGUUGGAGGUAUUGACCCCUUCAGUGCCGAAGCUAACGCGUUAAGUAUCCCGCCUGGGAAGUACGGUCGCAAGAUUAAAACUCAAAGAAAUUGACGGGGGCCCGCACAAGCGGUGGAGCAUGUGGUUCAAUUCGAUGCAACGCGAAGAACCUUACCUAGGUUUGACAUGUAGUGGAAGACUACCAGAAAUGGUGUCGCCUUCGGGCCGCUACACAGGUGCUGCAUGGCUGUCGU
Molecule: ribosomal RNA, 262 nt
Filed under: uncultured bacterium
Lineage: Bacteria
Description: partial 16S ribosomal RNA
Rfam family: Bacterial small subunit ribosomal RNA
Source: RNAcentral